This 485-nucleotide ribosomal RNA is filed under the name uncultured bacterium. RNAcentral describes it as "bacterial SSU rRNA". It matches the Rfam family "Bacterial small subunit ribosomal RNA", at positions 15 to 507 of the family's 1533-position model. The record is from RNAcentral.
GAUCAUGGCUCAGGACGAACGCUGGCGGCGUGCUUAACACAUGCAAGUCGAGCGGAAAGGCCCUUUCGGGGGUACUCGAGCGGCGAACGGGUGAGUAACACGUGAGUAAUCUGCCCUUGGCUUUGGGAUAACUACCGGAAACGGUGGCUAAUACCGAAUACGACCACUCCUUGCAUGAGGUGGUGGUGGAAAGUUUUUCGGCCAGGGAUGUGCUCGCGGCCUAUCAGCUUGUUGGUGGGGUAAUGGCCUACCAAGGCUUCGACGGUAGCCGGCCUGAGAGGGUGACCGGCCACACUGGGACUGAGACACGGCCCAGACUCCUACGGGAGGCAGCAGUGGGGAAUAUUGGACAAUGGGCGGAAGCCUGAUCCAGCAACGCCGCGUGAGGGAUGACGGCCUUCGGGUUGUAAACCUCUUUCAGUACCGACGAAGCGCCGAUGAUGGUGGUGACGGUAGGUACAGAAGAAGCACCGGCCAACUACGUG